CCUACGGGAGGCAGCAGUGGGGAAUAUUGGGCAAUGGAGGAAACUCUGACCCAGCGACGCCGCGUGCGGGAUGAAGGCCUUCGGGUUGUAAACCGCUUUCAGUAGGGAAGAAGCGAAAGUGACGGUACCUACAGAAGAAGCACCGGCUAACUAUGUGCCAGCAGCCGCGGUAAUACAUAGGGUGCAAGCGUUGUCCGGAAUUAUUGGGCGUAAAGAGCUCGUAGGUGGUUCGUCACGUCGGAUGUGAAAAUCUGGGGCUCAACCCCAGACCUGCAUUCGAUACGGGCGAUCUAGAGUGUGGUAGGGGAGACUGGAAUUCCUGGUGUAGCGGUGGAAUGCGCAGAUAUCAGGAGGAACACCAAUGGCGAAGGCAGGUCUCUGGGCCAUUGCUGACACUGAGGAGCGAAAGCGUGGGGAGCGAACAGGAUUAGAUACCCUGGUAGUCCACGCCGUAAACGGUGGGCACUAGUUGUGGGAACCUUCCACGGUUUCUGCGACGCNGCUACGACAUAGUGCCCGCCGUCGGGAGUACGAGUCGCGAAGAAUUAAAACGUUAAAAGUAAAGUUAGACGGCGUGAGACGUAGCCGAACGGACGACGACGAGGGAGUAGG
This 612-nucleotide ribosomal RNA is filed under the name uncultured bacterium. RNAcentral describes it as "bacterial SSU rRNA". The stretch from base 1 to 521 matches the Rfam family "Bacterial small subunit ribosomal RNA", at positions 338 to 873 of the family's 1533-position model. The record is from RNAcentral.